This is a long non-coding RNA of Arachis stenosperma, 1410 nucleotides long. RefSeq lists it as uncharacterized. The record is from RefSeq and is a predicted model, not a curated record. The transcript is spliced from 4 exons. Lineage: Eukaryota; Viridiplantae; Streptophyta; Magnoliopsida; Fabales; Fabaceae.
UGCUUAAGCAUCAUCGCUCUAUCACCCUCGUGCCAUCGUCGUUACACUGCUGUCGUGCCGCCGUCACUCCAUCACACACUCGUGCUGCCGUCGCUCUGCUGCUGCACUACCAUCACUCCAUUACUGCAACACCGCUAUUUCUCUGUCACUUUACGUCGUUGUUUCCGCUGCCCUAAUAUUCUCCUUCAAUUGACAUUUAGCAUUUGAGUGGCCGAUCAUUUGAAUUGACUCCAGAGAUAGGAACACUGGUAUUAAUUAUGACUUUACAAGGACAUUAGAUUCAUCACUCAAAUACCUUUUGCUUGUGCAGUUUGUUUUCUUCACUGGUGGUAUUGUGUUUUUAACACUUAUAGUGAAUGGUUGGAUAAAACAAUUCGUUUGAUCGUAUAAUUAACAGAAACGUAUACUUAAUUUUUAAUUUCACAAAGUAUGAAAUGUUGAACAAAACACUAAAAGAUUUUGGUGAACUUGGAGAUGAUGAGGAACUAGGGCCUGCUCUGAUUGGGCCACAGUGAAGAGAUAUACCUCCUGCCUAAAUAACAUUGAAGGUAAACAUGUUCAUCCUCACGACACAUCUGAAAGUGAUACUAAUCUGGAUGCUACAAAUUUGAAAGACAUAUGAGUACGCCUUCUCAAUGGUGAAAGUGAUGUUGCUUCUGCUGUUAUCAAUGAAAGCAUUGUAGAAGGAGAAGAAGCACGGAAGUUCCUAGAAGAUGUUCGCGUAACAUAUCCUAGGGUCUUGGGAGUUGUGAAAACAAGGCAAGCCACAUAUAUAGUGCUAAAUCACUUAACUGAAUAUGUUCAAGACUUUGAGAAGGCUGGGAUUUUGGAGAAGAAAAAGAUGUUACAUCUACAUGAUGCUGUCCAGGGAAAUGCUAAUAAAGUGCAUGCUGCAAAAAAAUCUCGAGCAUCGAUUAUCAGUAAGCCUCACCGAGACUAACUUUAUUUCUAACACUAAUGUGAUUCAUUAUUGUUAACUCAAAAGUAAAUUCAUUUUAUAUGUAUCAUAGGCAUAUGAGAUUUUAAAACACCCGUAUCUACAAUCUUAUGUUGAUCAAUAUCAUUUGUCUUUUUGUCUGCCUACAACAUGUUCUCCUCAAAAGUCUAUUGGAGUUUUCUAGGAUCCUCAAAGAAAUAGGCCUGAAAGUCAAAAAAAUAAUAGCUCAAGCAGUGACAAAGACUGUUUGAUGUCAAAUGAGAGAAACAUGGAAUGGCAGUGCCAAAUUUUGGUAGAGAAACCACAAUUCAGGUAUUAAUUGUUGAUGAUGGUUGAGUAUCCUGUGCCUAGUGAAGAAGGAAAUCAUUUCUCAAAUGGAGGAUGAUUCUAAUAAUCUUGACGACUUAGAUGAGAACUAUUUAGACGAGUACGAGUAGGGUUAUUUACCUUGUUUUGAAUAUUUUGUAUUAUUA